GACGAACGCUGGCGGCGUGCCUAAUACAUGCAAGUCGAACGCAUUUUCUUUCACCGUAGCUUGCUACACCGAAAGAAAAUGAGUGGCGAACGGGUGAGUAACACGUGGGUAACCUGCCCAUCAGCGGGGGAUAACACUUGGAAACAGGUGCUAAUACCGCAUAAUUCCAUUUACUGCAUGGUAGAUGGGUGAAAGGCGCUUUUGCGUCACUGAUGGAUGGACCCGCGGUGCAUUAGCUAGUUGGUGGGGUAACGGCCUACCAAGGCUGCGAUGCAUAGCCGACCUGAGAGGGUGAUCGGCCACACUGGGACUGAGACACGGCCCAGACUCCUACGGGAGGCAGCAGUAGGGAAUCUUCGGCAAUGGACGCAAGUCUGACCGAGCAACGCCGCGUGAGUGAAGAAGGUUUUCGGAUCGUAAAACUCUGUUGUUAGAAAAGAACAAGGAUGAGAGUGGAAAGUUCAUCCCUUGACGGUAUCUAACCAGAAAGCCACGGCUAACUACGUG
Molecule: ribosomal RNA, 507 nt
Filed under: uncultured bacterium
Lineage: Bacteria
Description: partial 16S ribosomal RNA
Rfam family: Bacterial small subunit ribosomal RNA
Source: RNAcentral